RNAcentral lists this ribosomal RNA (253 nucleotides) under uncultured bacterium. RNAcentral describes it as "partial 16S ribosomal RNA". It matches the Rfam family "Bacterial small subunit ribosomal RNA", at positions 524 to 776 of the family's 1533-position model. The record is from RNAcentral.
GACGUAGGGGUCGAGCGUUGUCCGGAUUCCUUGGGCGUAAAGCGCGCGUAGGCGGCCCGGUAAGUCGGAUGUGAAAUCUCACGGCUCAACCGUGGAACUGCAUUCGAUACUGUCGGGCUAGAGGCAGGUAGGGGAGAUCGGAAUUCCCGGUGUAGCGGUGAAAUGCGCAGAUAUCGGGAGGAACACCGGUGGCGAAGGCGGAUCUCUGGGCCUGUCCUGACGCUCAGGCGCGAAAGCUAGGGGAGCAAACAGG